This 578-nucleotide long non-coding RNA is filed under the name Bos indicus x Bos taurus (hybrid cattle). RNAcentral's name for it is "lncRNA (ENSBIXG00000010181.1)". Lineage: Eukaryota; Metazoa; Chordata; Mammalia; Artiodactyla; Bovidae. The record is from RNAcentral.
GUUGUAUGUCUGUUUUACUUAGAUACUAUCCCACCCUGGAGAGUAUCCAGGUGGGAUCCAACACAGAGGAUUGUCAUCAGAGUAGCUCUGAUUUACUUCCACUGUCAGUUUCAUAAGCAUGAAUUCUGGGUUAUAACCCAUGAGCAGUUGCACUUUUUAAUCCAACACAAAGGUUGUCAGAUUUCCAAGACAGAUUCCAGAUGACGAUACGAAAAGCUCGUCUGAGUAUGUGCUCUUCCUUAGGGAGAAAGAGGAGCCAGUGGACCUGUGGGAGAACAAGGUACUAAAGGAUGCUAUGGUGCCAAGGGCCCUAAGGGAAAACAGGGGACUAAAUGGACAGGAGGGAGAAGCUGGGGAAAGUGGAAUUGAUGGCUUAAAUGGAGAACAGGUCGAACCUCUCUUUGUAUCAUGAAAACCCUCUGAGCUAGUUCUCGUUAAGAAAAUGAGAAUAUGAGUUUAUUGUUCUCUGUGUUUUAGGGUGAUAGUGGUCUUCCUGGAGCAAAAAGGAGAGAAAGGCAUUGAAGGAGCCCAGGUAGGCAUUCAAUAAAGGGAUAAUGUAGAAACUGUACUGGGAUUCA